This 841-nucleotide ribosomal RNA is filed under the name Psychrobacter sp. HTGH13. RNAcentral describes it as "bacterial SSU rRNA". It matches the Rfam family "Bacterial small subunit ribosomal RNA", at positions 371 to 1205 of the family's 1533-position model. The record is from RNAcentral. Lineage: Bacteria; Pseudomonadati; Pseudomonadota; Gammaproteobacteria; Moraxellales; Moraxellaceae.
AUGGGGGCACCCUGAUCCAGCCAUGCCGCGUGUGUGAAGAAGGCCUUUUGGUUGUAAAGCACUUUAAGCAGUGAAGAAGACUCUUCGGUUAAUACCCGGAGACGAUGACAUUAGCUGCAGAAUAAGCACCGGCUAACUCUGUGCCAGCAGCCGCGGUAAUACAGAGGGUGCAAGCGUUAAUCGGAAUUACUGGGCGUAAAGCGAGCGUAGGUGGCUUGAUAAGUCAGAUGUGAAAUCCCCGGGCUUAACCUGGGAACUGCAUCUGAUACUGUUAGGCUAGAGUAGGUGAGAGGAAGGUAGAAUUCCAGGUGUAGCGGUGAAAUGCGUAGAGAUCUGGAGGAAUACCGAUGGCGAAGGCAGCCUUCUGGCAUCAUACUGACACUGAGGCUCGAAAGCGUGGGUAGCAAACAGGAUUAGAUACCCUGGUAGUCCACGCCGUAAACGAUGUCUACUAGUCGUUGGGUCCCUUGAGGACUUAGUGACGCAGCUAACGCAAUAAGUAGACCGCCUGGGGAGUACGGCCGCAAGGUUAAAACUCAAAUGAAUUGACGGGGGCCCGCACAAGCGGUGGAGCAUGUGGUUUAAUUCGAUGCAACGCGAAGAACCUUACCUGGUCUUGACAUAUCUAGAAUCCUGCAGAGAUGCGGGAGUGCCUUCGGGAAUUAGAAUACAGGUGCUGCAUGGCUGUCGUCAGCUCGUGUCGUGAGAUGUUGGGUUAAGUCCCGCAACGAGCGCAACCCUUGUCCUUAGUUACCAGCGGGUUAAGCCGGGAACUCUAAGGAUACUGCCAGUGACAAACUGGAGGAAGGCGGGGACGACGUCAAGUCAUCAUGGCCCCUUA